Molecule: transfer RNA, 75 nt
Rfam family: tRNA
About the family: Transfer RNA (tRNA) molecules are approximately 80 nucleotides in length. Their secondary structure includes four short double-helical elements and three loops (D, anti-codon, and T loops). Further hydrogen bonds mediate the characteristic L-shaped molecular structure. tRNAs have two regions of fundamental functional importance: the anti-codon, which is responsible for specific mRNA codon recognition, and the 3' end, to which the tRNAs corresponding amino acid is attached (by aminoacyl-tRNA synthetases). tRNAs cope with the degeneracy of the genetic code in two manners: having more than one tRNA (with a specific anti-codon) for a particular amino acid; and 'wobble' base-pairing, i.e. permitting non-standard base-pairing at the 3rd anti-codon position.
CCUGGGGUAGCUCCAAUAGGAUAGAGCAACCGGCUUGCCGGAAGGUUGAGGGUUCAACUCCCUCCCCCAGUACCA